CUCAGAUUUCCUAAUUCCAGUACUGUGAGAAAUACAUUUCUGUUGUUCAUAAGCCAUUCAGUCUAUGGUGUUUCAUUAUAGAAACCCGAACUGACUAAGACAAUGUGUUUAGUAGAUUCUACUAAUAAAAAUUAUUCUUAGACCUGAGCUGACAGUGCAACCACCAUUACAAAUUUGGCAGUUGCUGUACUAUGUGAGAAAAAGAGAGUUCUAGAGGAGUUUUAAUUGGCAGUUAAAUGCCAGAACUAUAGCAUGGCUCAACUCAACCACGAGGAGACCAAUAAUACCGAUCCUAUAAUUUUUGUGGAAAGUGGGCCAACUGAUAAUACCUGGAAAACAGCAUGAAGAGCUACUCUACUGCAUGUACACUUUGGGAUAUAAAUACUUAAUUUUCUUAUCCUUUGCUGACACUCCCAUGUGGCUUUGUGUAGAACAAUGAUCCAUAGCCAGGAUGCCCACAGACAUCACACUGGCUGUUCUGAGAAGAAUGAAUGACAAGAGACAAAGAAUGAAAGGAAGGCAAAGAUUCUGGGAAGAUGAUGUUAGGACUCAGAAAACAACACCCCAAAAUAAAAGCCUCAGAAGCAAUA
Molecule: long non-coding RNA, 590 nt
Filed under: Homo sapiens (human)
Lineage: Eukaryota; Metazoa; Chordata; Mammalia; Primates; Hominidae
Description: HSALNT0213828
Source: RNAcentral